RNAcentral lists this ribosomal RNA (497 nucleotides) under uncultured bacterium. Its description in RNAcentral is "partial 16S ribosomal RNA". It matches the Rfam family "Bacterial small subunit ribosomal RNA", at positions 28 to 507 of the family's 1533-position model. The record is from RNAcentral.
GAUGAACGCUGGCGGCGUGCCUAAUACAUGCAAGUCGAGCGAACGGACGAGAAGCUUGCUUCUCUGAUGUUAGCGGCGGACGGGUGAGUAACACGUGGAUAACCUACCUAUAAGACUGGGAUAACUUCGGGAAACCGUAGCUAAUACCGGAUAAUAUAUUGAACCGCAUGGUUCAAAAGUGAAAGACGGUUUUGCUGUCACUUAUAGAUGGAUCCGCGCUGCAUUAGCUAGUUGGUAAGGUAACGGCUUACCAAGGCAACGAUGCGUAGCCGACCUGAGAGGGUGAUCGGCCACACUGGAACUGAGACACGGUCCAGACUCCUACGGGAGGCAGCAGUAGGGAAUCUUCCGCAAUGGGCGAAAGCCUGACGGAGCAACGCCGCGUGAGUGAUGAAGGUCUUCGGAUCGUAAAACUCUGUUAUUAGGGAAGAACAUAUGUGUAAGUAACUGUGCACAUCUUGACGGUACCUAAUCAGAAAGCCACGGCUAACUACGUG